GACGAACGCUGGCGGCGUGCUUAACACAUGCAAGUCGAACGGAAAGGCCCUGCUUUUGUGGGGUGCUCGAGUGGCGAACGGGUGAGUAACACGUGAGUAACCUGCCCUUGACUUUGGGAUAACUUCAGGAAACUGGGGCUAAUACCGGAUAGGAGCUCCUGCUGCAUGGUGGGGGUUGGAAAGUUUCGGCGGUUGGGGAUGGACUCGCGGCUUAUCAGCUUGUUGGUGGGGUAGUGGCUUACCAAGGCUUUGACGGGUAGCCGGCCUGAGAGGGUGACCGGCCACAUUGGGACUGAGAUACGGCCCAGACUCCUACGGGAGGCAACAGUGGGGAACAUUGCGCAAUGGGCGGAAGCCUGAUACAGCAACGCCGCGUGCGGGAUGACGGCCUUCGGGUUGUGAACCGCUUUCGCCGGUGACGAAGCGUGAGUGACGGUAAUGGGUAAAGAAGCACCGGCUAACUACGUG
This 468-nucleotide ribosomal RNA is filed under the name uncultured bacterium. Its description in RNAcentral is "partial 16S ribosomal RNA". It matches the Rfam family "Bacterial small subunit ribosomal RNA", at positions 28 to 507 of the family's 1533-position model. The record is from RNAcentral.